GACGACAGUUACGCAAGGCGACAACUUCCUACGUACAGUCCGCUUCCAUUCCGUUCCUCCGACUGCAGCGGCAACGCGGAACCACACACCGCGAACCAUUCUCGUGAUAACGACUGUGAGUCCCCGUCCCUACUUCGUUUCGCGAAAAAAAACCCGGUGCAGUGAAGAUUUUUCGUCGCGUUUCAACCCUUAGUGAACGUGCUUUUUUUCUCGUACAUCCACACUCAAGUCCGUUCUACUUCCUGCCACGUUGCCUGGCCUUGACUUCAGCUGACGACGAACGGAGAGGAUACCGUGAAAUAAUUCAAUCGGUUCGUGGCGCUAGGAGUGUUCUUGCUGAGUCUAGUAAGGAUCCCUUCUUGUACGAGCUCACCGAUCA
Molecule: long non-coding RNA, 379 nt
Filed under: Bemisia tabaci
Lineage: Eukaryota; Metazoa; Arthropoda; Insecta; Hemiptera; Aleyrodidae
Description: lncRNA ENSSSA3NGG002015
Source: RNAcentral